This 376-nucleotide ribosomal RNA is filed under the name uncultured bacterium. RNAcentral's name for it is "bacterial SSU rRNA". It matches the Rfam family "Bacterial small subunit ribosomal RNA", at positions 524 to 898 of the family's 1533-position model. The record is from RNAcentral.
UACGUAGGGGGCGAGCGUUGUCCGGAUUUACUGGGCGUAAAGAGCGCGUAGGCGGCCCUUUAAGUUGGCUGUGAAAGGUCCCGGCUCAACCGGGAUAGGUCGGCCGAGACUGGGGGGCUUGAGGACGGUAGGGGAAGGUGGAAUUCCGGGUGUAGUGGUGAAAUGCGUAGAGAUCCGGAGGAACACCAGUGGCGAAGGCGGCCUUCUGGGCCGUUUCUGACGCUGAGGCGCGAAAGCGUGGGGAGCGAACUGAAUUAGAUACUCAGGUAGUCCACGCCCUAAACGAUGGACGCUAGGUGUAGGGGGUAUCGACCCCUCCUGUGCCGAAGCUAACGCAUUAAGCGUCCCGCCUGGGGAGUACGGCCGCAAGGCUAAA